CAGCUAUCCUGCCCCGAUGAAUAGUAUGUGACCGGAAACAAGGAAGUGAUAAAACGUCUGGAAUGGCUGCAUCUGCUGGCAGGAGAAGGUACCUCUAAGUGCCAGACCACUUCGAGUCUAUUAGAAAAUGGAUUGUCCUUGGGAAAAGUGUACAGUGCAGUGUUCUGGCUGGAGCUAAGGGAACACAUUAGGUAUGUUCAUCCCCACUGAA
RNAcentral lists this long non-coding RNA (211 nucleotides) under Cricetulus griseus (Chinese hamster). RNAcentral describes it as "lncRNA (ENSCGRG00000025919.1)". Lineage: Eukaryota; Metazoa; Chordata; Mammalia; Rodentia; Cricetidae. The record is from RNAcentral.